GACACACGGGGAGAAGGCCGCGUGACACGGAGGCAGGAAUCAGAGUGAUGUGUCUACAAGCCCAGGAAUGCCAAGGACUGCCAGCAAACCAGCAGGAGCCAGGGAGAGGCCGGCGAGGAGGGACCCUGCCUGCAGGCCGCAGGGGGAGCCUGGCCUGCUGACACCUUGACUUGGCGCUUCCAGACCCCGGGACGCUGAGGGAGUGAACCUCUGUUGCUUUCAGCUGCCUGGUUUGCCGUCCUUCGGUACAGCGGCCGGGAGACUAGGACGGCGAGGCAUCUGCCCUCAAAGAAACCCAUGUCCCUUAUUGCGAUCAGAUGCCGCCACCACGGUUGAGCAGAGCGGCCAGGAAGAGCGAUUGUGUGCCUCAGGCUUAGUCUAAGCCCACCAGGACCGCAUUUUCGUCUGAUGGCCACGCAUGUGGUCUGGGGCCUCUUCCGAUGUCAGGUGUUGCUUUUUGUUCUAAUUCCUGAUCCUACAGUGAAUCCAAGGGCCGUCUUCCAUCAUCUGCGUGCCCUCAGCAGUCUGGCAACGACAAAGUCUAGCGAAAAAGAUCGGCUCCCUUGACCUGUCUUGACCUCAAGCCUGGACAGGAACUCAGCAUGUCCAGUUUGACUCUUCUGAGUAACGCUGACCAGCAGGCUGACUUUAGGGAGACUGGUCAGCAGAUACCGCCAACGGAAAUGACCAGGCUGGAGGUGAACAGCUGAACGGUCAGAAAGACCGGAAGUCCGCGGUGUAAAUGUUUUGAGGCUGUCCUGCCGCUCCCGUCCACUAGGUACUGGUGGAGGAAAAGAGCACGGCCGUCCCCACGUUAGAUCUGCUCGACUGCAGUCCCCUGGGAGAAGAGAAGCUCAGGAGACUCAGAUCAACCUUUGUGCAGGAAUGUAAAUUGGUGCAGCCACUAUGGAAAACAGUAACGGGGGGCCCUCAAAAAAUAAAAAGUAGAACCACCAUAUGAUCCAGCAAAUCCACUCCUGCAUACACAGCCGAAGGAAACAAAAUCUCCGACCCAAAGAGACAUCUGCUCUCGCAUGUUCAUUGUAGCACUAUUUACAACAUCCAAGAUACAGAAGCAACCUAAGUGUUCAUCAAUGGACGAAUGGACAAAGAAAUGUUACUCAGCCAUAAAAAAGAAAGAAAUCCUGCCAUUUUUGACAACUGGGUGGACCUUGAGGGCAUUACGCUAAAUGAAAUAAGCCAGAGAGAGAAAGAUAAAUACUGUAUGAUCUCACUUAUAUGUGGAAUCUAAAAUCAUCCAACUCACAGAAGCAGAACAGAUGGGUGGUUGUCAGAGCCGGG
RNAcentral lists this long non-coding RNA (1302 nucleotides) under Equus caballus (horse). RNAcentral describes it as "lncRNA (ENSECAG00000050009.1)". Lineage: Eukaryota; Metazoa; Chordata; Mammalia; Perissodactyla; Equidae. The record is from RNAcentral.